Lycium barbarum (goji berry) is the source of this 2160-nucleotide long non-coding RNA. RefSeq lists it as uncharacterized. The record is from RefSeq and is a predicted model, not a curated record. Lineage: Eukaryota; Viridiplantae; Streptophyta; Magnoliopsida; Solanales; Solanaceae. The transcript is spliced from 3 exons.
GUUAUUAUAAUUGUACUAUAAAUACCAAAAUAUAUUUAAUUUUACUCAUUCUUUCCAAUUUCUUCCUUUAUUUGUUCGAAUACCAUAUAAAACUCCUCUAUAAUAUGUAAGAGCUCCGUCCGAAUACCAGAACUCCUAGAGACGUAUGAAUAAUUAUUGCUUCCACAUAGGUAAGUAGGCUCAACGGUUUUACUGAAGAAGGCAAGUUAUUUUUCAGGAUUUUCAGCAGCUAUACAUUACGUCAAUAUUGAUCAUCACCUUUUGUUUAUUGUUUUUAUUUUCUUCUCUUCUUUUUUAAGCAGAGUAGACGGUUUCAAUAUAAAAUCCAGCAAAGUAUAACAAUUGUAAUGGUAUUUUUUAUUUUUUUUAAUGAUUUGCUUCUAAUCAGUCCAAGUUACAUGGUGGUGUUUAGUUUUACAUAAACCAAGCUAAUGCCAAAAGUUUAAACUGUAUUGACAUGUUACUGCAAAAUUCAAUCUUGAUUUCACAAUCAUAGAAUAGCUACCUUGUUUUGUUCCGUCUCUUUUAACUUGGUUAACGGGAUGUCAGUUGGAUUGUGGCUUUCAAUUAAGCAACUGGGAACAGAGUUGUAGUAUACUACUCCCAUGUUUUAAUUGGUUCAAUCUUAAAUCGCUUUUUUUUUUCUAACUUUUUUUUACUGAAGUAAUCAGGCACUUAUUACUAUAUUGUGAGCUUUUAGUCUUGGUGUUAUUUUUAAUGUAUCUGCAACAAAAAUUUCCUGGUCUAGUCCUGUAGACUGUAGUAUGGAGGACAGGCUUAGCCAAUUGCCAGAUGACGUUCUUCUUUCUAUUCUUUCUAAGUUGACAUUGAAAGAAGCAGUGCAAGUUGUCUUUCAAGUCGAUGGAGUUAUAUUUGAACAUUGAAAGAAGCAGUGCUUGCAAGUUGUCUUUCAAGUCGAUGGCGUUAUAUUUGGACACAUGUCACACGGCUCAACUUUGACCUUCAGAGGCAGGAGUUGGAGGGGUAUUAUACAGAGUUUGGAAGUGAGGAAUCAUUGAGGCUUAUCAGUUUGGUUAAUCAUGUUUUGGGUUUGCACAAGUGUUCUCUUUUAGAAGAAUUCACUGUCGCUUCUCCUUUUUACACUAGUUUUCAAUGUGAAUUUGAUAAGUGGCUGAAAUUUGCAUUGUCUACAAAAGCCCAAAGCCUUAAGAUAAAACAGAUCCCUCAAGACUGGCAAUGGCUCUUCUCCAUUCAUGCUUGUUUGGAUUAAAAGAGGUUCCAGGACUUGUCGUCCUCGCCAGUCUUUGGGUUUAAAUAUCUCAAAGUGCUGACUUUUGACGGUCUUGAUGUUGAUAAUCAAGUGGUCAACAUUUUCCUUUCAAGCUGUCCCCUUCUUGAACAACUAUCAAUUCGAGAGUUUACCCAAUUGCAACAUCUGGAAAUUGGACCUUCCCUUAAGUUGAAGCAUUUGGAGAGUGUCACUGCAAUUUAGAUUAUCUGGAGAUUUGUAAUGUCAAUCUUGUCUCGUUCAGUUUCAAUAGAAAUAGAAGGAACAAAACAAACUUGCAUCUAGAAAAUGUUUAUUCGGUUGCUCAUCUUCAUAUUGAGGUUUACCUUGAAUCGCUGCAUAGACUCAUUGAUUUAAUUACAACGAAAUUUACUCAACUGGUGAAGCUUUCACUUGAAGUUGAUCAUCUCCAGUUUGAGGGUCUCGGUUGUUAUCAUUCUUUUCCAAAAUUCAACAAUCUCAAAUGGCUUAUAGUGUUCUUUAAAGACGCUCUCGAUAGCACUCUCCUUGAAGUCACUCCACUUCUGCAGGCAUCUCCGUAGCUGCAAACGUUCGAGAUCAAGAUUAGAUGGAUUAAUACAAGGAUCUUCGUGAUAAUGCAUAUUUUCUGCAACGGUUUUGGCAAAAUACGUAUCAACAUCUCAAAGGGGUCAGAUAUGUAGGUUAUCUCGGGAGUUCAGCUGAUAAGGAAUUUAUGACAUACCUUAAUAAAAAAUCUUUAGUACUUGAGAAAGUCAUCGUAUUCAUUGCGAUCAUUCGUCAUAUUCUAGAAAGAAGAGUUCCAAAGUUGAGCGAAGAUCAAGAAACCGUGCUUGGUGGCAGCUACAAGGGAUAGUUACCAAGGAAGUUGAGUGAAUGAUACUUUAAAUCACCUUCUCCUUCAUAAGUCUCAAUAGAUUGAUUUUUCCCCU